UACAGAGGUGGCAAGCGUUGUUCGGAAUUACUGGGCGUAAAGGGCGCGUAGGCGGCCUUCUAAGUCGGACGUGAAAUCCCCAGGCUUAACUUGGGAACUGCGUCUGAUACUGGAAGGCUUGAGUGCGGGAGAGGGAUGCGGAAUUCCAGGUGUAGCGGUGAAAUGCGUAGAUAUCUGGAGGAACACCGGUGGCGAAGGCGGCAUCCUGGACCGAUACUGACGCUGAGGAGCGAAAGCCAGGGGAGCAAACGGG
RNAcentral lists this ribosomal RNA (253 nucleotides) under uncultured bacterium. RNAcentral describes it as "partial 16S ribosomal RNA". It matches the Rfam family "Bacterial small subunit ribosomal RNA", at positions 524 to 776 of the family's 1533-position model. The record is from RNAcentral.